GUCUGAUCUUGAACAUGAGCUUUCUAAGAAGGAAAUAAAUUUAGAGAAGUUGAGGAGAAUUGCUAGUACAGGUCUCCCUGAGGGAGGAGGUUUACGCGCAGCAACUUGGAAGGUUCUCUUAGGNNNNNNUUUGCCUCCUACUCGUGACUUGUGGGAAAAGGAGCUGACUGAGAACAGACAAAAAUAUGCCAAGCUAAAAGAGGAGCUUCUAUCAAGUCCCUCAGAACUCAACAGGG
RNAcentral lists this unclassified non-coding RNA (236 nucleotides) under Hevea brasiliensis (rubber tree). The record is from RNAcentral. Lineage: Eukaryota; Viridiplantae; Streptophyta; Magnoliopsida; Malpighiales; Euphorbiaceae.